AACGAACGCUGGCGGCAUGCCUAACACAUGCAAGUCGAACGAGACCUUCGGGUCUAGUGGCGCACGGGUGCGUAACGCGUGGGAACCUGCCCUUAGGUUCGGAAUAACUCCCCGAAAGGGGUGCUAAUACCGGAUAAUGUCUUCGGCCCAAAGAUUUAUCGCCUUUGGAUGGGCCCGCGUUGGAUUAGCUAGUUGGUAGGGUAAAAGCCUACCAAGGCGACGAUCCAUAGCUGGUCUGAGAGGAUGAUCAGCCACACUGGGACUGAGACACGGCCCAGACUCCUACGGGAGGCAGCAGUGGGGAAUAUUGGACAGUGGGCGAAAGCCUGAUCCAGCAAUGCCGCGUGAGUGAUGAAGGCCUUAGGGUUGUAAAGCUCUUUUACCCGGGAUGAUAAUGACAGUACCGGGAGAAUAAGCACCGGCUAACUCCGUG
RNAcentral lists this ribosomal RNA (433 nucleotides) under uncultured bacterium. Its description in RNAcentral is "partial 16S ribosomal RNA". It matches the Rfam family "Bacterial small subunit ribosomal RNA", at positions 29 to 507 of the family's 1533-position model. The record is from RNAcentral.